This is a long non-coding RNA of Phyllostomus discolor (pale spear-nosed bat), 218 nucleotides long. RefSeq lists it as uncharacterized. The transcript has 3 exons. Lineage: Eukaryota; Metazoa; Chordata; Mammalia; Chiroptera; Phyllostomidae. The record is from RefSeq and is a predicted model, not a curated record.
GUCCUUACCAUAUACUUAGCACAUGCCUAGGAUACAACAAAUAGUUGUGAACACCGUAUUUUGCCAUAUACAAUGCACACACUUUGCCCAAAUUUUUGAGGGGAAAAAUAAGGGUGAGCAUUAUACAAGGGUAGUACCUAAAAUACUUUGUAUCUAUUCUUGUGUUUUGUAAUUAUUUGUUACAUAAAAUUUCUUGUACCAUAAAUUGUUCAACCAUA